GAGUAACACGUGAUUACCUGCCCCAGACUCUGGGAUAAGCGCUGGAAACGGCGUCUAAUACCGGAUACGAGCUUCAGCCGCAUGGCUAGGAGCUGGAAAGAAUUUCGGUCUGGGAUGGACUCGCGGCCUAUCAGCUAGUUGGUGAGGUAACGGCCCACCAAGGCGACGACGGGUAGCCGGCCUGAGAGGGUGACCGGCCACACUGGGACUGAGACACGGCCCAGACUCCUACGGGAGGCAGCAGUGGGGAAUAUUGCACAAUGGGCGCAAGCCUGAUGCAGCAACGCCGCGUGAGGGACGACGGCCUUCGGGUUGUAAACCUCUUUUAGUAGGGAAGAAGCGAAAGUGACGGUACCUGCAGAAAAAGCACCGGCUAACUACGUGCCAGCAGCCGCGGUAAUACGUAGGGUGCAAGCGUUAUCCGGAAUUAUUGGGCGUAAAGAGCUCGUAGGCGGUUUGUCGCGUCUGCUGUGAAAACUGGAGGCUCAACCUCCAGCCUGCAGUGGGUACGGGCAGACUAGAGUGCGGUAGGGGAGAUUGGAAUUCCUGGUGUAGCGGUGGAAUGCGCAGAUAUCAGGAGGAACACCGAUGGCGAAGGCAGAUCUCUGGGCCGUAACUGACGCUGAGGAGCGAAAGCAUGGGGAGCGAACAGGAUUAGAUACCCUGGUAGUCCAUGCCGUAAACGUUGGGAACUAGAUGUAGGGUCCAUUCCACGGAUUCUGUGUCGCAGCUAACGCAUUAAGUUCCCCGCCUGGGGAGUACGGCCGCAAGGCUAAAACUCAAAGGAAUUGACGGGGGCCCGCACAAGCGGCGGAGCAUGCGGAUUAAUUCGAUGCAACGCGAAGAACCUUACCAAGGCUUGACAUAUACGAGAACGGGCUAGAAAUAGUCAACUCUUUGGACACUCGUAAACAGGUGGUGCAUGGUUGUCGUCAGCUCGUGUCGUGAGAUGUUGGGUUAAGUCCCGCAACGAGCGCAACCCUCGUUCUAUGUUGCCAGCACGUAAUGGUGGGAACUCAUAGGAGACUGCCGGGGUCAACUCGGAGGAAGGUGGGGAUGACGUCAAAUCAUCAUGCCCCUUAUGUCUUGGGCUUCACGCAUGCUACAAUGGCCGGUACAAAGGGCUGCAAUACCGUAAGGUGGAGCGAAUCCCAAAAAGCCGGUCUCAGUUCGGAUUGAGGUCUGCAACUCGACCUCAUGAAGUCGGAGUCGCUAGUAAUCGCAGAUCAGCAACGCUGCGGUGAAUACGUUCCCGGGCCUUGUACACACCGCCCGUCAAGUCAUGAAAGUCUGGUAACACCCUAAGGAGGUGAUCCAACCGCA
Molecule: ribosomal RNA, 1323 nt
Filed under: Leifsonia sp. A2-25c-1
Lineage: Bacteria; Bacillati; Actinomycetota; Actinomycetes; Micrococcales; Microbacteriaceae
Description: bacterial SSU rRNA
Rfam family: Bacterial small subunit ribosomal RNA
Source: RNAcentral